UACGUAGGGGGCAAGCGUUGUCCGGAAUCAUUGGGCGUAAAGAGCGUGUAGGCGGCUCGGUAAGUCUGCUGUGAAAGUCCAGGGCUCAACCCUGGAAUGCCGGUGGAAACUGUCGAGCUAGAGUCCGGAAGAGGCGAGUGGAAUUCCUGGUGUAGCGGUGGAAUGCGCAGAUAUCAGGAGGAACACCAACGGCGAAGGCAGCUCGCUGGGACGGUACUGACGCUAAGGCGCGAAAGCGUGGGGAGCAAACAGG
RNAcentral lists this ribosomal RNA (253 nucleotides) under uncultured bacterium. RNAcentral's name for it is "partial 16S ribosomal RNA". It matches the Rfam family "Bacterial small subunit ribosomal RNA", at positions 524 to 776 of the family's 1533-position model. The record is from RNAcentral.